CGUGCUCAGCGCCAGGGCCGGCGGAGUCAGCGGGGACCGAGCGGGGGCUCCCCGGCGGCAGCGGGGGGGGCUCAGCGUGCUGUCGGCUACCGGGGAGAGGGGGGAAAACGGGGGCGGCCGUGCACCGGGCAUCCCACGCACCGGGGAGCCCCGUGCACCGGGGAGGGGGGGGGGUCCCCCCGACCCCCCCCCCCCCCCCCCCCCAGCCCCGGGAACCGGCAGCUCCCUGCUCGCAGCCCGCGCCAGGCCCCGCGCACCGGAGGGGGGGGGGGCCCCGCUCGGCGGCGACACUCACCGCUGGCCCGGCACUCCUGCAAGCGAACGGACGGCCAUCAGCUCGCCUCGCCCCAGCUCCUUUCCCCCCCCCUUCUCCCUCCCUCCUCCCGGUGCCCCGGUGCUCACGAAGUUGGCGGAGACCCGCAGGCGGGGCACGGCGGCACCGGCGGGCGGCACCGGCGGCACCGACAGCAGCAGCAGCAGCAGCAGCAGGACGGUGGCACCGAGCAGAGGGAACCCCAUAGCCGAGAGCUGCUCCCCCCGGUGCCGGUGCUCGGUCCCCGGUGCUCGGUGCCCGCCCCGGGCCGGCCCCGCCGCAUUCCUCCGUUGGCACGUGCGGCCCCGCCCGGAGUCCAGCAGCUUCUUGCUGUAGUAGAGCUGCCAGCCGUGCACCUGGGCGGCCACCACCACCACCAGGUACAUGACGGAGACGGCGGAGAAGCCGAAGAUGAAGCGGUACGCCUUGCCGUGCCGGUACAGCUGCUGCGCCAUGGGGAACAUCUCCAUGGCCCCGUAGAUGAGGGGAGCCACCGAGAAGAGCCCGGUGCUGAUCAUGGACAGCACCAGGUAGCUGAUGUUGUUGCGGGGGAAGGAGAGGAGGCCCAGGAGGGAGGGCAGGAUGCUGAGCAGGUAGGGGUACUCCCACUGGUAGGGCAUGGCCACCCGGUCGUGGGGCAGCAGCUUGAGGUGCCCCACGCACAUCUGCGCCAGCAGCAGCAGCCACAGC
Molecule: long non-coding RNA, 1003 nt
Filed under: Anas platyrhynchos platyrhynchos (common mallard)
Lineage: Eukaryota; Metazoa; Chordata; Aves; Anseriformes; Anatidae
Description: lncRNA (ENSAPLG00000024981.1)
Source: RNAcentral